UGUAAAAUUCAUUCGUUCCAA
Molecule: microRNA, 21 nt
Filed under: Oryza sativa (Asian cultivated rice)
Lineage: Eukaryota; Viridiplantae; Streptophyta; Magnoliopsida; Poales; Poaceae
Also listed under: 1 other name
Description: osa-miR1320-3p
Source: miRBase by way of RNAcentral